UGGGGAAUCUUGGACAAUGGGGGCAACCCUGAUCCAGCCAUGCCGCGUGAGUGAUGAAGGCCUUAGGGUCGUAAAGCUCUUUCGCCUGUGAAGAUAAUGACGGUAGCAGGUAAAGAAACCCCGGCUAACUCCGUGCCAGCAGCCGCGGUAAUACGGAGGGGGUUAGCGUUGUUCGGAAUUACUGGGCGUAAAGCGCACGUAGGCGGACCAGAAAGUUGGGGGUGAAAUCCCGGGGGCUCAACCCCGGAACUGCCUCCAAAACUAUUGGUCUAGAGUUCGAGAGAGGUGAGUGGAAUUCCAAGUGUAGAGGUGAAAUUCGUAGAUAUUUGGAGGAACACCAGUGGCGAAGGCGGCUCACUGGCUCGAUACUGACGCUGAGGUGCGAAAGUGUGGGGAGCAAACAGGAUUAGAUACCCUGGGUAGUCCACGCCGUAAAACGAUGUCUACUAGCCGUUGGGGUACUUGAGACCUUAGUGGCGCAG
This 482-nucleotide ribosomal RNA is filed under the name uncultured bacterium. Its description in RNAcentral is "bacterial SSU rRNA". It matches the Rfam family "Bacterial small subunit ribosomal RNA", at positions 355 to 851 of the family's 1533-position model. The record is from RNAcentral.